CCUCAAAUCAGGCAGGACUACCCGC
This 25-nucleotide ribosomal RNA is filed under the name Sarcodontia pachyodon. RNAcentral's name for it is "partial 28S ribosomal RNA". Lineage: Eukaryota; Fungi; Basidiomycota; Agaricomycetes; Polyporales; Meruliaceae. The record is from RNAcentral.